This 269-nucleotide ribosomal RNA is filed under the name uncultured prokaryote. RNAcentral's name for it is "partial 16S ribosomal RNA". It matches the Rfam family "Bacterial small subunit ribosomal RNA", at positions 524 to 792 of the family's 1533-position model. The record is from RNAcentral.
UACGUAGGGGGCUAACGUUGCUCGGAAUUACUGGGCGUAAAGGGUGUCUAGGUGGCAGUGCAAGUCGAAGAUGAAAUCCCAUGGCUCAACCAUGGAAUGGUUUUCGAAACUGCACAGCUUGAGGAUGGUUGAGGAAGGCGGAAUUCCCGGUGGAGCGGUGAAAUGCGUAGAUAUCGGGAGGAACACCAGAGGCGAAGGCGGCCUUCUGAGUCAUUCCUGACACUGAAACACGAAAGCUAGGGGAGCGAACGGGAUUAGAUACCCCCGUA